CCCUUAGAUGUUCUGGGCCGCACGCGUGCUACACUGAGUGGAUCAGCGGGUCAGGUUGCGCGAAAGUGUUUCCUAAUCUUGAAAUCCGCUCGUGAUGGGGAUUGACGGUUGCAAUUUUCUGUCAUGAACGAGGAAUACCUUGUAAGCGCGGGUCAUCAUCCCGCGCUGAAUACGUCCCUGCCCUUUGUACACACCGCCCGUCGCUCCUACCGAUUGAGUGGUCCGGUGAGGCUUUGGGAUCUGAGCGGAAAGAGUGUUUCGCUGUUUCUGCUCGGAAAACUCAGUCGAACCUUAUCAUUUAGAGGAAGGAGAAGUCGUAACA
Molecule: ribosomal RNA, 322 nt
Filed under: uncultured eukaryote
Lineage: Eukaryota
Description: partial 18S ribosomal RNA
Rfam family: Eukaryotic small subunit ribosomal RNA
Source: RNAcentral